AGUUGGCUCAUUGACUUAGAGGUACAUUCAAAAAAUAUAUACACUUGAUUUCAGCAUCUUUUGCCAGUUCUAUUUUGAGUCUGGUUUGUUAUUUUUAGCUUAUAAUGAUGGCUGCAUAUCAAAUGUAAUUGAAUGUAACAAUUAUUUGGUUUCUCUCUCUGACUAACCCAUGGUCAUAUUAUUUGCGAAAGCUGUGCAUUCAAGCUAGUAGUAAGUUGAUUUUCAUGUCUUGUACCAUAAACUUAUUUACUUUUUGACUGGUUAUAAACUGAUUUGGAAGAGGAAAAGGCACAUGAAAUUGCCAAGUUACAGGAUACUUUGCAUGCAAUGGUGAGCUUCACUUAUUUAUCUUUCUCUUUUUCUCCUAUUAAACUUGCAGCCCCAAAUCGAAAGUCACUGGAACUAAACCAGAUGUUGAGAAUUUGAUACUUGAAAAACAGAUGAGAAAUAGAAAAAUAUAAGGAGGCAGAGAAGCCUGAGGUAGAGGAUCAAUUCAUGACCCACUGUUUGAAUCAAUGGACACAAUAAUGAUGAAUGGUUUUUGUACAGAUGAAGUUCCAAUUUUAGAACCUAAUUAAGCAACCUUAUUGUAUAUUUUGAUUUAAUUAGAGGACAAUAGUUGAUGUAUCAAUACACUUUGUUGAUAUAUGGUUGUUACUUGUUAUUAUAAUUGAUGUAUCAACACUUUGUUUA
Non-coding RNA from Arachis ipaensis, 693 nucleotides. Lineage: Eukaryota; Viridiplantae; Streptophyta; Magnoliopsida; Fabales; Fabaceae. The record is from RefSeq and is a predicted model, not a curated record.